UUCCCUCUCUGCGUAGUGCCCCUUCAGCAAAGCGGGAGGAGAAAUGGAAGGGGUCCCGCUUCUCCUGCCGCUUUGCUGGAGAGGCGCUGCACAGAGAGGGA
Molecule: non-coding RNA, 101 nt
Organism: Podarcis lilfordi (Lilford's wall lizard)
Lineage: Eukaryota; Metazoa; Chordata; Lepidosauria; Squamata; Lacertidae
Source: the annotation of a GenBank genome assembly